RNAcentral lists this ribosomal RNA (1932 nucleotides) under soil metagenome. Its description in RNAcentral is "bacterial LSU rRNA". It matches the Rfam family "Bacterial large subunit ribosomal RNA", at positions 1 to 2044 of the family's 2925-position model. The record is from RNAcentral.
CAAGCGUGAGGUAAGGGCAUCUGGUGAAUGCCUUGGCAUGUACAGGCGAUGAAGGACGUGGCACGCUGCGAUAAGCGUGGGGGAGCCGUGAGCAGGCUUUGAUCCCGCGAUUUCCGAAUGGGAUAACCCACCUUCACCAUUUAAUCUCUGUCCUGAGCGAUCAGGAUGAGCGGUUAAAUGGUUGAGGUAUCACUAAGCUGAAUAAAAUAGGCUUUGGUGAAGCGAACCCGGAGAACUGAAACAUCUCAGUACCCGGAGGAAAAGACAUCAACCGAGAUUCCGUUAGUAGUGGCGAGCGAACGCGGACCAGGCCAGUGCCUGGAGUAUAGUUAGCAGAACGAUCUGGAAAGUUCGGCCAUAGCGGGUGACAGCCCCGUAUGCGAAAAUGAUACUUCAGGACUUGAGUAGGGCGGAGCACGUGAAACUCUGUCUGAACAUGGGGGGACCACCCUCCAAGCCUAAAUACUCGUACAUGACCGAUAGUGAACCAGUACCGUGAGGGAAAGGUGAAAAGCACCCCGAUGAGGGGAGUGAAACAGUACCUGAAACCGGAUGCCUACAAGCAGUGGGAGGGUCCUUGAGACCUGACCGCGUACCUCUUGCAUAAUGGGUCUGUGACUUAGUGUAUCAAGCAAGCUUAAGCCGUUAGGUGUAGGCGCAGCGAAAGCGAGUCUGAAUAGGGCGCCAUAGUUUGAUGCAUUAGACCCGAAACCCGGCGAUCUAUGCAUGACCAGGUUGAAGGUGCGGUAACACGCACUGGAGGACCGAACCGUUCAAUGUUGAAAAAUUGUCGGAUGAGUUGUGCUUAGGGGUGAAAGGCCAAUCAAGCCGGGAAAUAGCUGGUUCUCCGCGAAAUCUAUUGAGGUAGAGCGUCGAAUGAUUGCCGUUGGGGGUAGAGCACUGGAUGGAUGCGGGGGUCGCGAGAUCUACCAACUCUAACCAAACUCCGAAUACCAACGAGUCUAGUUCGGCAGACAGACGGCGGGUGCUAAGGUCCGUCGUCAAAAGGGAAACAGCCCUAACCUACAGCUAAGGUCCCCAAGUCAUCACUAAGUGGGAAAGCAUGUGGGAUUUCCAAAACAACCAGGAGGUUGGCUUAGAAGCAGCCAUCCUUUAAAGAAAGCGUAACAGCUCACUGGUCUAAAUAAGAGAUCCUGCGGCGAAGAUGUAACGGGGCUAAAGUGAUGCACCGAAGCUUAGGGUUCAGAUCUUUGAUCUGAGCGGUAGCGGAGCGUUCCGUAGGCCGUUGAAGCGAUCUGGUAAUGGGUCGUGGAGGUAUCGGAAGUGCGAAUGCAGACAUGAGUAGCGAUUAACAGUGUGAGAUGCACUGUCGCCGAAAUUCCAAGGGUUCCUGCUUAAAGCUAAUCUGAGCAGGGUAAGCCGGCCCCUAAGACGAGCCCGAAGGGGGUAGUCGAUGGGAACCACGUUAAUAUUCGUGGGCCUGGUGGUGUGUGACGGAUGCCGUAAAUUGUUCGGGCUUAUUGGAUUGCUCCGGGCAGUGAAGGGGUCCCAGGAAAUAGCCCCACCGUAUAGACCGUACCCUAAACCGACACAGGUGGAAUGGUAGAGUAUACCAAGGCGUUUGAGAGAAGUAUCCUGAAGGAACUCGGCAAAUUGCCUCCGUACCUUCGGAAGAAGGAGGCCCCAUCUAAACGCAAGUUCUGAUGGGGGGCACAGGCCAGGGGGUAGCGACUGUUUAGCAAAAACACAGGGCUCUGCUAAGUCGGCUUCAAGACGACGUAUAGGGCCUGACGCCUGCCCGGUGCCUGAAGGUUAAGAGGAGGAGUGCAAGCUCUGAAUUGAAGCCCAGGUAAACGGCGGCCGUAACUAUAACGGUCCUAAGGUAGCGAAAUUCCUUGUCGGGUAAGUUCCGACCUGCACGAAUGGCGUAACGACUUCCCCACUGUCUCCAGGAUAUGCUCAGCGAAAUUG